This 484-nucleotide ribosomal RNA is filed under the name uncultured bacterium. RNAcentral describes it as "bacterial SSU rRNA". It matches the Rfam family "Bacterial small subunit ribosomal RNA", at positions 30 to 507 of the family's 1533-position model. The record is from RNAcentral.
AUUGAACGCUGGCGGCAUGCUUUACACAUGCAAGUCGAACGGGGUGAGGAGCUUGCUCCUCAUCUAGUGGCGAACGGGUGAGUAAUACAUCGGAACGUACCGUGUAGUGGGGGAUAACUACCGCCGAAAGGUAGGGUAUACCGCAUACGAUCCACGGAUGAAAACCAGGGGACCUUCGGGCCUUGUGCUAUACGAGCGGCCGAUGUUUGAUUAGCUAGUUGGUGAGGUAAAGGCUCACCAAGGCAACGAUCAGUAGCGGGUUUGAGAGGAUGAUCCGCCACACUGGGACUGAGACACGGCCCCGACUCCUACGGGAGGCAGCAGUGGGGAAUUUUGGACAAUGGGGGCAACCCUGAUCCAGCCAUGCCGCGUGUUUGAAGAAGGCCUUCGGGUUGUAAAGGACUUUUGUCAGGGAGCAAAUCCUAACAGCUAAUAUUUGUUGGGGAUGAGAGUACCUGAAGAAUAAGCACCGGCUAACUACGUG